Chinchilla lanigera (long-tailed chinchilla) is the source of this 206-nucleotide long non-coding RNA. RefSeq lists it as uncharacterized. The transcript is spliced from 3 exons. NCBI's taxonomy places the organism in Eukaryota, Metazoa, Chordata, Mammalia, Rodentia, Chinchillidae. The record is from RefSeq and is a predicted model, not a curated record.
GGCCUUCCAGAACCAGUGAAAGAACUGGGGGAUGUCUGCUUCAUCUGCGGAGCCGAGGCACCAGGUCUCUGAGGUAAGAAGAGGUUGGAUUGUGGUGAACACCCAGGGGAGUGUACAGAUGGACUCGUAGUGACGACAGCCUGCCAGGGACCCCACGUGCAGUGCCAUUGGAGAUUGACCAGAGUAAAGAUGGAAAGACAGAAGGU